GUAACAGCCCGGCCCCGUACGACCGGCCCUGUUACCGUUCACACCCAGGGCUAUCCCUCGCCUGGCCUCUUUGCCACCUCGGGCUUUCCGCUGGCGUAUGAACAGGUCUUAACAACCAUUCACCCUCACGGGUUCCUGGCAGGAUUUGUCCCUCGGGGGAGCCAUUACGGCCCGCCCUAGCCCGAGUGGAUUUGGCCCAAUUCCUUCCUCUGGGAAUUAGGUCGCCUCCCCCACUGCUCGAACCCUUGACCUCCCACUUUAAGGGAAUAGUCUGGUGAGAGUGAGUACCAAUUGUGCCAA
This 300-nucleotide long non-coding RNA is filed under the name Manihot esculenta (cassava). RNAcentral describes it as "long non-coding RNA (MESC_LNC009183)". The record is from RNAcentral. Lineage: Eukaryota; Viridiplantae; Streptophyta; Magnoliopsida; Malpighiales; Euphorbiaceae.